This 64-nucleotide transfer RNA is filed under the name Brachystomella parvula. RNAcentral's name for it is "tRNA-Phe". The record is from RNAcentral. Lineage: Eukaryota; Metazoa; Arthropoda; Collembola; Poduromorpha; Brachystomellidae.
AUUUAUAUAGCUUAUAAUCAGAGUAUGGUAUUGAAGCUGCCAAGGAAGUAGAGACUUAUAAAUG